UGCGUAGGCGGCUUAUCAGGUCUGAUGUGAAAUCUCACGGCUCAACCGUGGAACUGCGUUGGAAACUGGUAAGCUUGAGUGUGCUAGGGGUGUGUGGAACUUCCAGUGGAGCGGUGAAAUGUGUUGAUAUUGGAAGGAACGCCGGUGGCGAAAGCGACACACUGGGGCAUAACUGACGCUGAGGCACGAAAGCUAGGGUAGCGAACG
RNAcentral lists this ribosomal RNA (207 nucleotides) under uncultured bacterium. RNAcentral's name for it is "partial 16S ribosomal RNA". It matches the Rfam family "Bacterial small subunit ribosomal RNA", at positions 568 to 774 of the family's 1533-position model. The record is from RNAcentral.